This 386-nucleotide small RNA is filed under the name Pongo abelii (Sumatran orangutan). Its description in RNAcentral is "retained intron". Lineage: Eukaryota; Metazoa; Chordata; Mammalia; Primates; Hominidae. The record is from RNAcentral.
UGCCAACUUCGUGCUGGGCAGCUACAAGACGGAGCAGUGCCCAAAGCCGCCGCGCCUGUGCCGCCAGGGCUAUGCGUGCCCGCACUACCACAACAGCCGGGACAGGCGGCGCAACCCCCGGCGGUUCCAGUACAGGUCCACGCCCUGCCCCAGCGUGAAGCACGGGGAUGAGUGGGGGGAGCCCUCACGCUGCGACGGCGGCGACAGCUGCCAGUAUUGCCACUCCCGCACGGAGCAACAGUUCCAUCCUGAGGUACGUCCCUCCGAUCCCCUAGGCGUAGGGGUUGCUGGAAGGCCCCGGAGAAGCUGUGGGGUUCACAGCGUGGUUAUCACACAGAAGGAACAGUGAUUAACUUUGGCCGAGGGCUGGCACAGGUCGGGAAGCC